AGUCACCUAUAACAUUGGCCUAGUCGUGCCAAUACUUGUACCAAGUCGGUAACUUCCUUCAGACAAAGGAUAGCUAGAGUAGUCAGCCAAAAAAAGGUCAUUUGGCUCUGCAUGCAAGCUUUAUGUUAAUCUCGUACUCUAACAGCAAAAUGAUGCGAGUGUGACCAAGGGAACAUGACAUGACGUGUGGACCAGAUGGAAGGUGGUGGUGG
This 212-nucleotide long non-coding RNA is filed under the name Elaeis guineensis (African oil palm). Its description in RNAcentral is "long non-coding RNA (EGUI_LNC025699)". The record is from RNAcentral. Lineage: Eukaryota; Viridiplantae; Streptophyta; Magnoliopsida; Arecales; Arecaceae.